This 2872-nucleotide ribosomal RNA is filed under the name Acinetobacter baumannii. RNAcentral describes it as "bacterial LSU rRNA". It matches the Rfam family "Bacterial large subunit ribosomal RNA". The record is from RNAcentral. Lineage: Bacteria; Pseudomonadati; Pseudomonadota; Gammaproteobacteria; Moraxellales; Moraxellaceae.
GUUGUAUAGUCAAGUAAUUAAGUGCAUGUGGUGGAUGCCUUGGCAGUCAGAGGCGAUGAAAGACGUGAUAGCCUGCGAAAAGCUCCGGGGAGGCGGCAAAUAUCCUUUGAUCCGGAGAUGUCUGAAUGGGGGAACCCACCUACUUUAAGGUAGGUAUUGCAACAUGAAUACAUAGUGUUGCAAGGCGAACGAGGGGAAGUGAAACAUCUCAGUACCCUUAGGAAAAGAAAUCAAUUGAGAUUCCCUCAGUAGCGGCGAGCGAACGGGGAUCAGCCCAUUAAGUUAUGUGUGUUUUAGUGGAACGCUCUGGGAAGUGCGAACGUAGAGGGUGAUAUUCCCGUACACGAAAGGGCACACAUAAUGAUGACGAGUAGGGCGAGGCACGUGAAACCUUGUCUGAAUAUGGGGGGACCAUCCUCCAAGGCUAAAUACUCCUGACUGACCGAUAGUGAACCAGUACCGUGAGGGAAAGGCGAAAAGAACCCCUGUGAGGGGAGUGAAAUAGAUCCUGAAACCGCAUGCAUACAAGCAGUGGGAGCACCUUCGUGGUGUGACUGCGUACCUUUUGUAUAAUGGGUCAGCGACUUAUAUUCAGUAGCGAGGUUAACCGUAUAGGGGAGCCGUAGAGAAAUCGAGUCUUAAUAGGGCGUUUAGUUGCUGGGUAUAGACCCGAAACCAGGCGAUCUAUCCAUGAGCAGGUUGAAGGUUGGGUAACACUAACUGGAGGACCGAACCCACUGUCGUUGAAAAGCCAGGGGAUGACUUGUGGAUAGGGGUGAAAGGCUAAUCAAGCCUGGUGAUAGCUGGUUCUCCCCGAAAGCUAUUUAGGUAGCGCCUCGGACGAAUACCAUAGGGGGUAGAGCACUGUUUCGGCUAGGGGGUCAUCCCGACUUACCAAACCGAUGCAAACUCCGAAUACCUAUGAGUACUAUCCGGGAGACAGACUGCGGGUGCUAACGUCCGUAGUCAAGAGGAAAACAAUCCAGACCGCCAGCUAAGGCCCCAAAAUCAUAGUUAAGUGGGAAACGAUGUGGGAAGGCAUAGACAGCUAGGAGGUUGGCUUAGAAGCAGCCACCCUUUAAAGAAAGCGUAAUAGCUCACUAGUCGAGUCGGCCUGCGCGGAAGAUGUAACGGGGCUAAAACUAUGUGCCGAAGCUGCGGAUNNNNNNNNNNNNNNNNNGCUGGAGGUAUCAGAAGUGCGAAUGCUGACGUGAGUAACGACAAAACGGGUGAAAAACCCGUUCGCCGAAAGACCAAGGGUUCCAGUCCAACGUUAAUCGGGGCUGGGUGAGUCGACCCCUAAGGCGAGGCCGAAAGGCGUAGUCGAUGGGAAAAUGGUUAAUAUUCCAUUACUUCUGUGUAAUGCGAUGAGAGGACGGAGAAGGCUAAAUCAGCCUGGCGUUGGUUGUCCAGGUGAAAGGAUGUAGGCAUGUAUCUUAGGCAAAUCCGGGGUACUCUAUGCUGAGAUCUGAUAGCAAGCUGUACUUGUACAGCGAAGUGGUUGAUGCCAUGCUUCCAGGAAAAGUCUCUAAGCUUCAGUUACACAGGAAUCGUACCCGAAACCGACACAGGUGGUCAGGUCGAGUAGACCAAGGCGCUUGAGAGAACUCUGCUGAAGGAACUAGGCAAAAUGGUACCGUAACUUCGGGAGAAGGUACGCUGUUGUUGGUGAUGGAACUCGCUUCCUGAGCUGACGACAGCCGCAGAAACCAGGCCGCUGCAACUGUUUAUUAAAAACAUAGCACUCUGCAAACACGAAAGUGGACGUAUAGGGUGUGAUGCCUGCCCGGUGCUGGAAGGUUAAUUGAUGGGGUUAGCGUAAGCGAAGCUCUUGAUCGAAGCCCCAGUAAACGGCGGCCGUAACUAUAACGGUCCUAAGGUAGCGAAAUUCCUUGUCGGGUAAGUUCCGACCUGCACGAAUGGCAUAAUGAUGGCGGCGCUGUCUCCAGCAGAGGCUCAGUGAAAUCGAAAUCGCUGUGAAGAUGCAGUGUACCCGCGGCUAGACGGAAAGACCCCGUGAACCUUUACUGCAGCUUGACACUGAACUUUGACCUUACUUGUGUAGGAUAGGUGGGAGGCUUUGAAGCUGGAACGCUAGUUCCAGUGGAGCCGUCCUUGAAAUACCACCCUGGUAAUGUUGAGGUUCUAACUCUGUCCCGUGAUCCGGGACGAGGACCGUGUCUGGUGGGUAGUUUGACUGGGGCGGUCUCCUCCUAAAGAGUAACGGAGGAGUACGAAGGUGCGCUCAGCGUGGUCGGAAAUCACGCGUAGAGUAUAAAGGCAAAAGCGCGCUUAACUGCGAGACCCACAAGUCGAGCAGGUACGAAAGUAGGUCUUAGUGAUCCGGUGGUUCUGUAUGGAAGGGCCAUCGCUCAACGGAUAAAAGGUACUCUGGGGAUAACAGGCUGAUACCGCCCAAGAGUUCAUAUCGACGGCGGUGUUUGGCACCUCGAUGUCGGCUCAUCUCAUCCUGGGGCUGAAGCAGGUCCCAAGGGUAUGGCUGUUCGCCAUUUAAAGAGGUACGCGAGCUGGGUUUAGAACGUCGUGAGACAGUUCGGUCCCUAUCUACCGUGGGCGCUGGAAAUUUGAGAGGAUCUGCUCCUAGUACGAGAGGACCAGAGUGGACGAACCUCUGGUGUACCGGUUGUGACGCCAGUCGCAUCGCCGGGUAGCUAUGUUCGGAAGGGAUAACCGCUGAAAGCAUCUAAGCGGGAAGCCUACCUCAAGAUAAGAUUUCCCUAGGACUUUAUGUCCUCUAAAGAGCCGUUCGAGACUAGGACGUUGAUAGGUUGGAUGUGGAAGCAUAGUGAUAUGUGAAGCUGACCAAUACUAAUUGCUCGUGAGGCUUGACUAUACAACACCCAAGCAGUUG